RNAcentral lists this ribosomal RNA (253 nucleotides) under uncultured bacterium. RNAcentral's name for it is "partial 16S ribosomal RNA". It matches the Rfam family "Bacterial small subunit ribosomal RNA", at positions 524 to 776 of the family's 1533-position model. The record is from RNAcentral.
UGCGUAGGGAGCAAGCGUUGUCCGGAAUUACUGGGCGUAAAGGGCGCGUAGGUGGGCGCUUAAGUCAGGUGUGAAAACUCCGGGCUCAACCUGGAGACUGCACUUGAAACUGGGUGUCUUGAGGGCAGGAGAGGAAAGUGGAAUUCCUAGUGUAGCGGUGAAAUGCGUAGAUAUUAGGAGGAACACCAGUGGCGAAGGCGACUUUCUGGACUGUACCUGACGCUGAGGCGCGAAAGCGUGGGUAGCGAACGGG